AACAACCUCAAGCAAAAUUUAAAAGCUGUUUGCUAAAUAAGAGCAAUUGAGAAUUUGUGUCAUUAAUUGUUGACAAUAAUAAUCGUGACUAAUCGACUAUCAGAAUAGUCGUUAGUUGCAGCCCUGAUCUGAAGGUGUCUGCCAUAUGUGACAUUGUAAUUUAAUGUUAAAUAACGCUCAUUAUCCAUCCCUGUGUGGUCUCUUACCAUUAAGACUGUCACAGUUCCUCUGUGCCUCCAGUGCCCCUCCCCUUCUUGUUUCUCUUUUCCCGCAGGUGCAGCACAUCUCGGUGAUGACCCGGCUCUCCAGGCGCACCUGCACUAAUCAUCUCCGGGCUUUAUCUGCCCUGGCUGUGCUGCGAGUCAUCGCCAGUUCGUCCUCGUUGCUACAGUGGACUGAAACCUUGGACUCUCGUGUCUACCUCCAUGCUGAAGACCUCACGGAGAUCUCAGCCGACCUGUCUACCUCCACGCUGAAGACCUCACGGAGAUCUCAGCCAACCUGUCUACCUCCACGCUGAAGUCCUCACGGAGUUCUCAGCCGUCCUGUCUACCUCCCCGCUGAAGACCUCACGGAGUGUCAGCGGACCCGCCUAUCUGUUCUCUCCUACUGCAAUAAACUUCCUUGAACACA
Molecule: long non-coding RNA, 633 nt
Organism: Limanda limanda (common dab)
Lineage: Eukaryota; Metazoa; Chordata; Actinopteri; Pleuronectiformes; Pleuronectidae
Exons: 2
Source: RefSeq, a predicted model, not a curated record